RNAcentral lists this non-coding RNA (835 nucleotides) under Nesomachilis australica. RNAcentral describes it as "small subunit ribosomal RNA". The stretch from base 412 to 821 matches the Rfam family "Microsporidia small subunit ribosomal RNA", at positions 752 to 1303 of the family's 1311-position model. Lineage: Eukaryota; Metazoa; Arthropoda; Insecta; Archaeognatha; Meinertellidae. The record is from RNAcentral.
UGCUACUUUGAGAUAUUAUAAAGUUUGAUUCUUUCUUUUAGUUUUGGGUGAAAACGAAUUUUAUAUGCAAAUUUUAGUAUGAAAGGUAAUUAUUGUUUGAAAAGAUAAUAAUGUUGUUUAAUUUAAUGUGCGCAGUAUUUGGUUUUGAAUAAUUGAUGUUUAUCAGAAUUUAGUUCGUUAAAAAAGCUGGGUAAAGUCGUGCCAGCAGCCGCGGUUAGACGAAGGGCUUGACUAAAGUUUUUCGGUAAAAUAGUAAGGAAUUGUUAGAUGUUGUGUUUAUUUGUAAGAUAAAAUAUUUAAGUGAAAUUAGUUUUUGCUGUUUAAGAUUGAUUUGACAUUGAUUUGAUUUAUAUAAAUUUAAUUUAAGACUAGGAUUAGAUACCCUAUUAUUGAAAUAACAUUAUUUUAUCAGGGUAGUAAGUUGUUUUGAAACCUAAAGAAUUUGGCGGUAUUUUAGUCUUUUCAGAGGAACCUGUCCCUUAAUCGAUAUUACUCGUUUUGUCUUUCUUAGUUUGGUGCAGUUAAUUUUGUAUACCGUCGUCGUUCAGAAUUUUUUUUUAAGAAUUAAUUUUCUAGAGGUUUUAGGUAAAAAUUACGUCAGAUCAAGGUGCAGAUUAUAGCUAAGUGGUGAUGGGUUACAAUAAUUUAAUUAUACGGAAUAUUAACUUUUAAAGUGUGAGUUUUGGAAGGUGGAUUUGAUUGUAAAAUUUUUUAAGGAAAAAGGUUUGAGUUUGGCUCUAGGAUAUGCACACAUCGCCCGUCACUCUCAUUUUAAAGUGAGAUAAGUCGUAACAUAGUAGGGGUACUGGAAGGUGCCCCUGGUUUGAAAAUAUUU